CCUGGUGGCUUAGAGGGUAAAGUGUUUGCCUGCAAUGCAAAAGACCCGGGUUCGAGCUCUGCAUCUGGA
Molecule: transfer RNA, 69 nt
Filed under: Bos taurus (domestic cattle)
Lineage: Eukaryota; Metazoa; Chordata; Mammalia; Artiodactyla; Bovidae
Rfam family: tRNA
About the family: Transfer RNA (tRNA) molecules are approximately 80 nucleotides in length. Their secondary structure includes four short double-helical elements and three loops (D, anti-codon, and T loops). Further hydrogen bonds mediate the characteristic L-shaped molecular structure. tRNAs have two regions of fundamental functional importance: the anti-codon, which is responsible for specific mRNA codon recognition, and the 3' end, to which the tRNAs corresponding amino acid is attached (by aminoacyl-tRNA synthetases). tRNAs cope with the degeneracy of the genetic code in two manners: having more than one tRNA (with a specific anti-codon) for a particular amino acid; and 'wobble' base-pairing, i.e. permitting non-standard base-pairing at the 3rd anti-codon position.
Source: Rfam by way of RNAcentral